GAUUUUGUUAGUUCUUGCUCAAACUGACCCUAUCGGUUCGUCUGGUUACCCAUUCCAGUUCACAGCGCCGGGCGCCAAAGGUGACCUUAAAGAAUGAAAGCAAUAAAUGUAGGAAGCCAACCCCCAGGAAGCAAAUUAUGGCAGUCAUCAUGCUCAUCACAGUCACCAUCCCCGUAUUUAUGUUGUUCUACCAACCAUUUCCAAUGAGCAUUGUCUUGCGCCAUAUGAUUACAUCACAUGUUUUCGAACUUCCUUACACCGCUAAUUCCCUGCCGUAAAAGGCAUGCGGUGGUUGGGUUUGUAAUGCAUUAGUAUCGAAUGGGUUCGGCUAUGCUUACACGUCAUGAAUUGCAGUAUCGUGGCCCUCAUAUAGAACCUACUAUUUCAUUGUGUACCUCUGUUUUUAUUUUUCACUCUUAUAAGACAUAAUAGUUAUUCUCGCCUUUUACAGAAUUAUUCAUUUAUUCGGGGUUAGCGCUAUGUUCGUGUGUUUCACUCGCGUUGGCCUGUUUCUUUUACUGUCCAUCAGCAUAUUAAUGUCUUGCCAGAAAACACCACGGCCCCCACCUUUGCAUUUAAGCUGGCGUUGCAGUAUAUGGGACUACGUAGGCGAAUAACUAUCGUCGAGGCGCGGACGGCCAGUGGCUCGGAAGCAACAUCUGGGGUGAUCACUUAUCGGGCGGUCACUUUCGGAGGUGAUCACACCAGACCUGUGCGUGUAUACGGCCGAAAGCGUUUUUGGAUCUGUGCCGAGCUCUCUAUCUACUGGUGUAUAGAAGGCCAACGUUCCGUGUCUUCAGCUCUUUCACAACGCUUCUCACAUAGUCAUGUGAUGUCCUUUCUUCUUUUUUUCAUCGGUGCCGACAACGAACCGCACGAGAUCGACAUGGUCGUGUCCUGCAACGCAUCUCUCGGGGAAAGACGGUGCUGGCGUUUCGUGCGUCAAGACCUGGCCAAGCGUCAGUGCAGCAGGGUGGUCUACUGUACGAGUCAGACCGGCAAGUUCAUCUGGUGGUCAGGUGUUCUAGCAGCCUGGUGUUCCUGAUGUCCGCCCUGCAGAUCUGGUGGCCAGCUGAUUUACCGACGUGGAACCUCUAUGCCCACCCUGUUGACCUGUUGGUCAGGUGCUCUAGCAGCCUCGAGUAUUGAUGCCCAACCUGUGGAUCUGGUGACCAGCUGUUCUAUAGGCUCCCGCCGUGGCUCUUGGUUCAAAGAACGCGGAGACGGACAGCCGGGCCAAGUUCAGCCUCCUAGCAGACGAGGUCGACCUGACUUCUUUAGCAGCGAGGUGAACAUCUCCUGCAGCAUGCUCAUGUCAAGCCACAUGUAGCAGCUGCGAGCAACGUACGUGACACAGUGUUCAUGCCAUUGGCAAGGCUGCAGCACACUCUGUUGUCCUCGCGCAGCCGGAUGCUCCAUUUUGGAUGUCGGUUGGCCAGGAUGUCCAGCAAGUUCCAGAGCAGCGUGCUCACCGGAAGUUCUCCGGAGGAUCCGGAUGCUCACCGGAGGAUCUGCCCACCACGGACUUCGGAGAAUCCCUCGAUCUGAAGCAACCUGGUGCGCGAGCCACCGAGCAGCCGCUGACCCAGACUGGAGAGGUUCAGCUCGAACGCCAGGUUUCGAACUUGCGUCAGAGCGGCCACUUUCACUGUCACGACGACGUGGCCAUUCGCACCGUUUUUGAAAAUUACGACAAGCGCUUGGUUCCGCACACACAAAAAUAAAGUCUGAAAACACCGCAGGCCAAAAGGCCAGAAGACGACGAUGAUGGCGACGUGUAACGCCCAUGACGUGCAAGAUGUCUUACACUUCACGUACCACGACUCGAACUAAUAAGUGUCGAAGGGGCACGUCCUGGGUAGCUUGAGGUGAGUUACGGGCGGGUCUUCGAAAUAGAGCACCGAUAGCACGGCGGCUUACCGAGUUAUAUGGUUGGUAAAGGGGGAGGGGAGGACAAGGAGUGGAAUGUUGGUGGAGUGCAUGACUAGCUGAAAUAACGAAAAACCCACGUACGACUGCAAAAUUAGCCGGAUACUUUCGCGGUGGCGUAUGUUAUUCGCCUACUGUUAUUCAAUAAGCGAAGAACUUUGUUCAGGAUCCUUUUAACCCUGCAAUGCAUAACGCGCCUUCCGAUUGCUGCGCCGUUCGAGACUGAAUUUCUAAUUUCUGCACGUGAAACAGAAGUAGCGACAUACAUUCCUAAGCUGUUCUGUGUGAAACUCGGCUGCAAUAUAACUACUAGCUGCAGUGCUCGUUAUGUUUGCUGAAGCUAUCUUCAGUAUAAGUUCGCGCUCCAUGGCGAGAAAUCAAGUUGCACGUAUUUUGUGUAGAACGCUGUUCGGGCAUUGCAGGGUUUAAUGCGCCCAAAUACGUUUGGUGUCUGUGUUGUUGGAUGCUCUGAACAGCGAACUCGUCAAAGUACUUGAAAAACUGCAGCAAUGGAUAACGAAGCCUGAAAGGACCACACCACUACAAAAUUUGGAGUUCAUCUGGGAGGCGUACCGCAGGUUGAGUAGACGUCGGGAUAAUUUAUCACUCGGAACUGGCGCCUGUGUUGUGUAGCAGGCAAACUUACGCGUGACAUUAGCAUGUUAAGCAAUCGCCGUAUAAGAAUGAAAAAGCUUGUUGAGCAUCAGAAGUACUUUCGUGCUGUUCUGUAGUUUUUCCGCGUACUUUUCUCUCGCGUUCCACAAUCUUCGCGAACAGCCGUGCGCCGUGCUUAUUAGCCGGAGGCUUCCGUUAAGCUGUUCCAAACAUACUUGUAGAAUGGAUUUCGUUGUUUCUCGCACAGAUACAGCCUUCUGGGUUUUACGAUGUCCAGGACUUCGGAAUUGCCACUAAGAAUUUGUGAUAGUAUUUGUUUUCCCCUGCCAGCGUUACUUUCUAUUCCCGGCACCUCUCGUUCUAGUGAUGAAUUCGAUGUCGUAUUUGUGAGAAAUUUGCACUUUCGGCGUCAUGUGCGCGCAUGUAUACGGCGUAAAUUAAGGUGGGAAUGUUCGGUUUUUGAUCGUCCCUCAAUUUUCUUUGUUACGAAUGGUUAAGAGCUCCGAAAUAAAGUUGCGGUGUGUGGAAUUAACGCC
RNA transcript from Dermacentor andersoni, 3080 nucleotides. RefSeq lists it as uncharacterized. Lineage: Eukaryota; Metazoa; Arthropoda; Arachnida; Ixodida; Ixodidae. The record is from RefSeq and is a predicted model, not a curated record.